Molecule: ribosomal RNA, 1555 nt
Filed under: uncultured Glomeromycotina
Lineage: Eukaryota; Fungi; Glomeromycota
Description: eukaryotic LSU rRNA
Rfam family: Eukaryotic large subunit ribosomal RNA (bases 711-1555)
Source: RNAcentral
UAUUGCUCUUGAACGAGGAAUCCCUAGUAAGUACAAGUCACUAGCUUGUGCUGAUUACGUCCCUGCCCUUUGUACACACCGCCCGUCGCUACUACCGAUUGAAUGGCUUAGUGAGGCCUUCGGAUUGAGAUUCGGAGACUGGCAACAGACUCUUGGUUUUGAAAAGUUGGACAAACUUGGUCAUUUAGAGGAAGUAAAAGUCGUAACAAGGUUUCCGUAGGUGAACCUGCGGAAGGAUCAUUACCGAUUUUUAGCGGACCUGAUCUAUGAUCAUGGUCUCGCGAAAACUUGUAUUUAAAACCCCACUCUUAUAAAUUGAAUCAUUUUAUUAUAUGUAUAAUAAAUAAAGAUCACUUUCAACAACGGAUCUCUUGGCUCUCGCAUCGAUGAAGAACGUAGCGAAGUGCGAUAAGUAAUGUGAAUUGCAGAAUUCCGUGAAUCAUCGAAACUUUGAACGCAAAUUGCACUCUCUGGUAACCCGGGGAGUAUGCCUGUUUGAGGGUCAGUGUUAAUAAAAAUCGGUGCGUUGCAAUUUUUGUGAUGUUCCGGAGUUUGAGUUAUCUUAUCUUCUGGGUUUAAGAGGCUUAAAAUUGACCUUCUUUGUGCAUUUUAGACGUACAUAAAUUUUUUUUUAUUCGUUUAUCUUAAUGCCAAAAUCUAUUAGAUGCGACCAUAUCGUGUGGUUCCGUGUCUAUAAAUUUUUCAUGAUUUGACCUCAAAUCAGGUAGGAACACCCGCUGAACUUAAGCAUAUCAAUAAGCGGAGGAAAAGAAACUAACAAGGAUUCCCCUAGUAACGGCGAGUGAAGAGGGAAGAGCUCAAAUUUUAAAUCUGCCUUGUUUCAAGGUCGAGUUGUAAUUUGAAGAAGCUGUUUUCUUGGGCUCGCGGCCGGUAGAAGUUCUUUGGAACAGGACAUCAUAGAGGGUGACAAUCCCGUCUGCGACCGGUCGUGCGUUCAUCUACGAUACGCUUUCAAAGAGUCGAGUUGUUUGGGAUUGCAGCUCCAAAUGGGUGGUAAACAUCACCUAAGGCUAAAUAUUGGCGAGAGACCGAUAGCGAACAAGUACCGUGAGGGAAGGAUGAAAAGAACUUUGAAAAGAGAGUUAAACAGUACGUGAAAUUGUUGAAAGGGAAACGAUUGAAGUCAGUCGUGCUGGCGCGAAAUCAACCUUCUCGUCGAGAGAUCACGUGGCGUGGCGAGCCUCAAAACCGUCACGAAGCGUGAACUCUUUGUGAAAUGGAGCACUUUCGUGUCCGCUGGUUAACAUCAAUUCCGAACGUCAUAAAAAGGCUGGAGGGAUGUGGCUCCUUCGGGAGUGUUAUAACCUUUAGCGGAAUGUGGUGGUCGGGAUUGAGGAUUGCAACGAAUACCUUUAGGGCUGCUCCACCUGGCUUCUCUUUGGUAUCCUGGUGACAGACAGCUUGCUGACGUCGUUAGGAUUCGCCUUUGAACAGGCUAGAGUGUGAGCAAAUUCGUUAAGGAUGUUGACGUAAUGGCUUUAAACGACCCGUCUUGAAACACGGACCGAGGAGUCUAACAUAUGUGCGAGUGUUU